Long non-coding RNA from Lolium perenne, 689 nucleotides. RefSeq lists it as uncharacterized. NCBI's taxonomy places the organism in Eukaryota, Viridiplantae, Streptophyta, Magnoliopsida, Poales, Poaceae. The record is from RefSeq and is a predicted model, not a curated record.
UUCCUUCAGUCGCCUUGUUUUUCCUCUCCACAGGGCACGGGUGAAACCCUAGAUCGCUCCUCCAAUCCCCGGGCCUCAUUUCCACCCAAUCCCCGUUUCUCCUCUCUCCUCCUCUCCAAUGGUGGCGCGCCGCUCUCCCCGGCAUGGAGACGGACGGGAGACCGCACGCAGGCGGGCUUCCGUGCGGCGGCGCUCAUCGGCUGCGCACGGCGCCCUUGGCCGCCGCGACCUGCUCGCGCCUCCCCGACGCCGGCGGCCUCCCUGCGCAUCCUCCUGCUGGAGGCGAGCUGCAGGAGAGCAGACGGGGCCGGACGGGACGGCUGCCGUGGCGGACGAGAGGAGGCACUGCAGGAGCAGGUUCCGGAGGAGGGCCCCGGCGGCGCCAGCGGAGUCCUCGCUCGUGACUUCCUUUCAUCUCCCCGCGGCGGUUGGUGGUGCAGAGAAAGGCAACGAGCCGCGGGAGCGCACCACGCGCGUGCAGCUCGUCCACCAGCGGCGGCGGCGACACGCACGACGCCCAUGCCCCUCCUUCUCAGCGCCUUUUCGUCCCCGUUAGGCAAGUUAGAUGACAGACAGCAGCAAUGCCUCCAAUAGAGGCCUCAAGCAGGUCACAUGUAGGUGUCUAUUCUUUAUUGAUGUGCAGCCGCGGCUUGGAAUGUUGUAUUUGGGUGGCGGAAGAUUCCUACGAC